UACGGAGGGUGCGAGCGUUGUCCGGAAUCACUGGGCGUAAAGGGCGCGUAGGUGGCCUCUUAAGUGUGUGGUGAAAGCCCGGGGCUCAACCCCGGGUCGGCCAUGCAAACUGGGGGGCUUGAGCACUGUAGAGGCAGGCGGAAUUCCGGGUGUAGCGGUGGAAUGCGUAGAGAUCCGGAAGAACACCGGUGGCGAAGGCGGCCUGCUGGGCAGUAGCUGACACUGAGGCGCGACAGCGUGGGGAGCAAACAGG
RNAcentral lists this ribosomal RNA (253 nucleotides) under uncultured prokaryote. RNAcentral describes it as "partial 16S ribosomal RNA". It matches the Rfam family "Bacterial small subunit ribosomal RNA", at positions 524 to 776 of the family's 1533-position model. The record is from RNAcentral.